This 473-nucleotide ribosomal RNA is filed under the name uncultured bacterium. RNAcentral describes it as "bacterial SSU rRNA". It matches the Rfam family "Bacterial small subunit ribosomal RNA", at positions 355 to 825 of the family's 1533-position model. The record is from RNAcentral.
UGGGGAAUAUUGGACAAUGGGGGAAACCCUGAUCCAGCGACGCCGCGUGGGUGAUGAAGGCUUUCGGGUCGUAAAGCCCUGUCAGGAGGAAAGAAUGCUCCUAUGAUAAAUACUCAUAGGAAGUGACGGUACCUCCAAAGGAAGCACCGGCCAACUCCGUGCCAGCAGCCGCGGUAAGACGGAGGGUGCAAGCGUUGCUCGGAAUUACUGGGCGUAAAGGGUGCGUAGGCGGCCUUUCAAGUCCGGCGUGAAAGCCCAGGGCUCAGCCUUGGAAGUGCGCUAGAAACUGAAUGGCUAGAGUAUCGGAUGGGAGAGUGGAAUUCCUGGUGUAGCGGUGAAAUGCGUAGAUAUCAGGAGGAAUACCGGUGGCGAAGGCGACUCUCUGGACGAUAACUGACGCUGAGGCACGAAAGCGUGGGGAGCAAACAGGAUUAGAUACCCAGGUAGUCCCUGAGCGGGCUGGCAAGGCGCAU